CGAGUCGGCUGGGCGGUCGCGUCGGCGGGGGAGACCCCGCCGCCGAGGAACGUCCGGGCUCCACAGGGCAGGGUGGUCGCUAACGGCGACCCGGGGUGACCCGCGGGACAGUGCCACAGAGAACAGACCGCCAGCAGUGCCUUCUCGGAGGCUCGGCUGGUAAGGGUGAAACGGCGGUGUAAGAGACCACCGCACACCGGGUGACCGGUGUGGCUCGGUAAACCCCACCCGGAGCAAGGUCGAGAGGGACGGCGACUGGGCGACCAGGAACCGUCCUGCGCAGGCGUUCGAGGGCUGCCCGCCCGAGCCUGCGGGUGGACCGCUCGAGCCUGCCGGCAACGGCAGGCCUAGAUGGAUGAUCGCCCACCGGGAGGCCGCGAGGCACCCGGGGACAGAACCCGGCGUACAGGCCGACUCGUCCG
RNAcentral lists this RNase P RNA (422 nucleotides) under Trujillonella endophytica. RNAcentral's name for it is "Blastococcus endophyticus Bacterial RNase P class A". It matches the Rfam family "Bacterial RNase P class A". From Rfam's summary of the family: Ribonuclease P (RNase P) is a ubiquitous endoribonuclease, found in archaea, bacteria and eukarya as well as chloroplasts and mitochondria. Lineage: Bacteria; Bacillati; Actinomycetota; Actinomycetes; Geodermatophilales; Geodermatophilaceae. The record is from RNAcentral.